UUUUCAUUCAUUCACAAAUCAUCUUUCUUACCUCUUCAUUUCCUUCUUUCUCUAGUUUCUUCAUAUAGAAAUAUUAGUUUUAGUUGUCGAAGUUUUCACGGUGUCGGUUUGUAGUUUUUAGAGUUAUUUUGGGGUCAAAGUUCUUCUAAAGUUUUAAAGGAGUUUGAUACGUCAAAGUUCUGCUCAAAUCAUUUUCAUAAGUAACCGGUUCUGGGCAAACAUCAGAGAAAACGCUCGUGGACUUUCAACAACGAUCAACAACAAAAGGCGACGAGCUAGACCCUUUAGGAGGGAAGGCUAUGGAGUGACAGAUUACGAUAAUGUCAAGGCUGAAGGUUGCUAGCGUUUUGUCAAACGCUUAUCACAUCGUUACUAGUACGUAAUAUUAUAUACAGUCAGUAUAAGUGUCAGUCAUGUUGGACUUAGGGGGUCCUUCUGUUAAGCUUUCUUUUGAUUUUCUUCAUGUACUUUUAUUUUAAGUUUUAUCUACGUGGCAAGGCCACUAGUCUUAACGGUAUCAAACUUUAUGUAAAACAUAUUUGAAGCAUAUAUAUGUGAAGUAGUAUAUUUUAAUUAAUUCAGUCUUGUUAUUUAAAAAUUUUAAAUUUUCUGUAUUUUAUUUUAGAAUUUCACUAAUGGGACAUAGGCUGUCUCAUUUAAUGGUAUCAGAGCUGGUCGAUUCAGCUCGGACCGUAAGUGUCUAGAGUUAUACUGACUGUAUCAAGUUGGAUUCCAAACAGGAUGAUAACUUUUCUUUUGUGCGUUGAGUCUUCCUUUUGAUAGUCUUCUAAUAUAUUGAUCUA
This is a long non-coding RNA of Lathyrus oleraceus (garden pea), 803 nucleotides long. RefSeq lists it as uncharacterized. NCBI's taxonomy places the organism in Eukaryota, Viridiplantae, Streptophyta, Magnoliopsida, Fabales, Fabaceae. The transcript is spliced from 3 exons. The record is from RefSeq and is a predicted model, not a curated record.